GAUGAACGCUGGCGGCGUGCCUAAUACAUGCAAGUCGAGCGAACGGACUAUAAGCUUUCUUCUCUGAUGUUAUCGGCUUACGUGUUAGUAACUCUUUGAUAACCUACCUAUAUUUCUGUUAUCACUUCGGGAAACCGUAUCUCAUACCGUCUAAUAUUUUGUACCUCAUGUUUCAAAUGUGUUAUACGGUCUUUCUUUCACUUUUAGAUGGAUCCUCGCUGCAUUAUCUAGUUGGUAAGGUAACGCCUUACCAAGGCAACGAUGCAUAGCCGACGUGAGAGGGUGAGCGGCCAAACUGGAACUGAGACACGGAACAGAGUCCUACGGGAGGAAGCAGAAGGGAAAAUUACGCAAUGGGAGAAAGGAUGACGGAGCAAAGCAGAGUGAGAGAUGAAGGUGAUCGGAUCGUAAAACUGUGUUAUUAGGGAAGAAAAUAUGUGUAAGUAAAUGAGCACAGAAUGACGGUAACUAAUAAGAAAGCAACGGCUAACUACGUG
Molecule: ribosomal RNA, 497 nt
Filed under: uncultured bacterium
Lineage: Bacteria
Description: partial 16S ribosomal RNA
Rfam family: Bacterial small subunit ribosomal RNA
Source: RNAcentral